RNAcentral lists this ribosomal RNA (899 nucleotides) under Setophoma atkinsoniorum. RNAcentral describes it as "Setophoma sp. YPT-2021a partial large subunit ribosomal RNA". It matches the Rfam family "Eukaryotic large subunit ribosomal RNA", at positions 39 to 958 of the family's 3401-position model. Lineage: Eukaryota; Fungi; Ascomycota; Dothideomycetes; Pleosporales; Phaeosphaeriaceae. The record is from RNAcentral.
CAUAUCAAUAAGCGGAGGAAAAGAAACCAACAGGGAUUGCCCUAGUAACGGCGAGUGAAGCGGCAACAGCUCAAAUUUGAAAUCUGGCUCUUUCAGAGUCCGAGUUGUAAUUUGCAGAGGGCGCUUUGGCGUUGGCAGCGGUCCAAGUUCUUUGGAACAGGACGUCACAGAGGGUGAGAAUCCCGUACGUGGUCGCUAGCCCUCGCCGUGUAAAGCCCCUUCGACGAGUCGAGUUGUUUGGGAAUGCAGCUCUAAAUGGGAGGUAAAUUUCUUCUAAAGCUAAAUACUGGCCAGAGACCGAUAGCGCACAAGUAGAGUGAUCGAAAGAUGAAAAGCACUUUGGAAAGAGAGUCAAAUAGCACGUGAAAUUGUUGAAAGGGAAGCGCUUGCAGCCAGACUUGCCUGUAGUUGCUUACCUAGACUUUUGUCUGGGGUACUCUUCUGCAGGCAGGCCAGCAUCAGUUUGGGCGGUUGGAUAAAGGUCUCUGUCACGUACCUCUCUUCGGGGAGGCCUUAUAGGGGAGACGUAAUGCAACCAGCCUGGACUGAGGUCCGCGCAUCUGCUAGGAUGCUGGCGUAAUGGCUGUAAGCGGCCCGUCUUGAAACACGGACCAAGGAGUCUAACAUCUAUGCGAGUGUUUGGGUGUCAAGCCCAUACGCGUAAUGAAAGUGAACGGAGGUGGGAACCUUAGGGUGCACCAUCGACCGAUCCUGAUGUCUUCGGAUGGAUUUGAGUAAGAGCAUGGCUGUUGGGACCCGAAAGAUGGUGAACUAUGCUUGAAUAGGGUGAAGCCAGAGGAAACUCUGGUGGAGGCUCGCAGCGGUUCUGACGUGCAAAUCGAUCGUCAAAUUUGGGCAUAGGGGCGAAAGACUAAUCGAACUAUCUAGUAGCUGGUUCU